RNAcentral lists this ribosomal RNA (271 nucleotides) under uncultured bacterium. RNAcentral's name for it is "partial 16S ribosomal RNA". It matches the Rfam family "Bacterial small subunit ribosomal RNA", at positions 85 to 354 of the family's 1533-position model. The record is from RNAcentral.
UUGAUGGCGACCGGCGUACGGGUGAGUAACGCGUAUCCAACCUGCCCUUUACUAUGGGACAGCCCGUCGAAAGGCGGAUUAAUACCGUAUGUUGUCAUGUUGAUGCAUAUUUUCAUGACCAAAGGCUUCGGCCGGUAAAGGAUGGGGAUGCGUCUGAUUAGCUUGCCGGCGGGGUAACGGCCCACCGGGGCGACGAUCAGUAGGGGUUCUGAGAGGAAGGUCCCCCACAUUGGAACUGAGACACGGUCCAAACUCCUACGGGAGGCAGCAG